Molecule: ribosomal RNA, 386 nt
Filed under: uncultured bacterium
Lineage: Bacteria
Description: bacterial SSU rRNA
Rfam family: Bacterial small subunit ribosomal RNA
Source: RNAcentral
AUUGAACGCUGGCGGCAUGCUUUACACAUGCAAGUCGAACGGUAGACCCUUUCGGGGGUUGAGAGUGGCGAACGGGUGAGUAAUGCAUCGGAACGUGCCUAGUCGUGGGGGAUAACGUAGCGAAAGUUACGCUAAUACCGCAUACGCACUGAGGUGGAAAGCGGGGGACCGUAAGGCCUCGCGCGAUUGGAGCGGCCGAUGUCGGAUUAGCUAGUUGGUGAGGUAAAGGCUCACCAAGGCGACGAUCCGUAGCGGGUCUGAGAGGAUGAUCCGCCACACUGGGACUGAGACACGGCCCUGACUCCUACGGGAGGCAGCAGUGGGGAAUUUUGGACAAUGGGCGCAAGCCUGAUCCAGCCAUGCCGCGUGCGGGAAGAAGGCCUCGG